GACGAACGCUGGCGGCGUGCUUAACACAUGCCAGUCGAACGGAAAGGCCCUGCUUUUGUGGGGUGCUCGAGUGGCGAACGGGUGAGUAACACGUGAGUAACCUGCCCUUGACUUUGGGAUAACUUCAGGAAACUGGGGCUAAUACCGGAUAGGAGCUCCUGCUGCAUGGUGGGGGUUGGAAAGUUUCGGCGGUUGGGGAUGGACUCGGGGCUUAUCAGCUUGUUGGUGGGGUAGUGGCUUACCAAGGCUUUGACGGGUAGCCGGCCUGAGAGGGUGACCGGCCACAUUGGGACUGAGAUACGGCCCAGACUCCUACGGGAGGCAGCAGUGGGGAAUAUUGCACAAUGGGCGGAAGCCUGAUGCAGCAACGCCGCGUGCGGGAUGACGGCCUUCGGGUUGUAAACCGCUUUCGCCUGUGACGAAGCGUGAGUGACGGUAAUGGGUAAAGAAGCACCGGCUAACUACGUG
RNAcentral lists this ribosomal RNA (468 nucleotides) under uncultured bacterium. Its description in RNAcentral is "partial 16S ribosomal RNA". It matches the Rfam family "Bacterial small subunit ribosomal RNA", at positions 28 to 507 of the family's 1533-position model. The record is from RNAcentral.